This is a non-coding RNA of Styela clava, 929 nucleotides long. NCBI's taxonomy places the organism in Eukaryota, Metazoa, Chordata, Ascidiacea, Stolidobranchia, Styelidae. The record is from RefSeq and is a predicted model, not a curated record.
CAACAACAACAACAACAACAACAACGACAACAACGCCACAUAUGGAACCAUCAUCUUUAUCUGACGGUGCCAUUGUUGGAAUCGUUUUGGGUUCACUGUUCGGAACUUUACUGAUAAUUAUAUUGAUAGUGGUUGUUGUAAGACAUUUUGGUUUCAGUUGCAGCGCAAAGUCAGGGUAUGACAUGAGAGGAAAAGACUACGGUGAAUUACCUGGGUUGGACGAGAUAUAUCACCAAACUCAAGAUACAGAUAUGUAAUUUAGAUGGACUUCGACGAUGUGUGCUGCUUAGACCAUGAACUGCCAUCGUUUCGGGAAAUAGUUCUCUGUUGCUUAUGUUGUUUAUGCAAUUCCUAAAAAUCGAAUGAAAGUGUCAUUAGACAUACUUUGAUUACAUUUAUAUAGGAUAUCAUUUUUAGGCUUUUGUUGAAUGCUUCCUUGAGAUAUUUUUGUAUUUUAUUAUCUAUUUUUAUGUUGAUAUACUUUUUUUAUGGUGACCGUUCGUCGUCGUGGUGUCGUCAGUUUUUUAAUUUUUCUAGUUUUCUGUAUAAGAUGAUUCGUCGGAAGCGCAAGCUUUUGUAAAAAAAAUUUAUAAGUUGAUAAAGCUUAAAAUCGUGUAUAAGUUAUAACCAAUGCGAUUCCUUGUGGUAAUAGGCAAAUAGUACAAAUAUCUUGAUUUAUAUGAAAAUCUUUAUCUACUCGAAAAAUGGAUGUUCAACUAAUAUUUACUAAUGUUUCGGCAUUCUCAUACACUAUAUGGCAUUUUUAAAUGUGUAAAUACACACUUAAACUUAAACAUAGCGUGUACGUUCCAAGUUUUGUUUAUUAUUGGAAUCAAGUUGAACAGUUUCUUAAAUAUAUAAAUUUGCACAGCAGGUGUCAAAAUGUUCAUAUGGUGAAGUAAUAUUCUUUUUAGUACAUGUUUGUAAUU